GAUGAACGCUGGCGGCGUGCCUAAUACAUGCAAGUCGAGCGAACGGACGAGAAGCUUGCUUCUCUGAUGUUAGCGGCGGACGGGUGAGUAACACGUGGAUAACCUACCUAUAAGACUGGGAUAACUUCGGGAAACCGUAGCUAAUACCGGAUAAUAUUUUGAACCGCAUGGUUCAAAAGUGAAAGACGGUCUUGCUGUCACUUAUAGAUGGAUCCCCGCUGCAUUAGCUAGUUGGUAAGGUAACGGCUUACCAAGGCAACGAUGCAUAGCCGACCUGAGAGAGUGAUCGGCCACACUGGAACUGAGACCCGGUCCAGGCGCCUAAGGGAGGCCGCAGUAGGGAAUCUUACGCAAUGGGCGAAAGCCUUGCGGAGCAACGCCGCGUGAGUGAUGAAGGUCUUGGGAUCGUAAAACUGUGUUAUUAGGGAAGAACAGAUGUGUAAGGAACUGUGCACAUCUUGACGGUACCUAAUCAGAAAGCCACGGCUAACUACGUG
Molecule: ribosomal RNA, 497 nt
Filed under: uncultured bacterium
Lineage: Bacteria
Description: partial 16S ribosomal RNA
Rfam family: Bacterial small subunit ribosomal RNA
Source: RNAcentral